Long non-coding RNA from Ruditapes philippinarum (Manila clam), 559 nucleotides. RefSeq lists it as uncharacterized. The record is from RefSeq and is a predicted model, not a curated record. NCBI's taxonomy places the organism in Eukaryota, Metazoa, Mollusca, Bivalvia, Venerida, Veneridae. The transcript has 2 exons.
UUGAAAAUGUUUGAGAAGCAAUAAAUUAUGUGAUGUCUUGAUGCUUAUGCUUUCCUUAUAAUAUAUUGUAAGCCUUUAUUUACCAGAAAAAAAUUAUCAAGAAAACUGGUCAAUUUUGUUUUCUUUCAGCCUCUUCUCUUUUACUGUUGGGUAAUGUAAUAUGACUCUUUAUAUGGAUUCUUUUUUGCUUUUGUUCAGGCAAAAGAAAAGGAGCGUAGGUUGAAGUUACGUGAGGAGAAGAUGGAACAACAGAGAUUACACCAGGAAGAGAGAGUCAGGAAGGCCCUGGAGAGAGCGAAGGCCGAACCAAAGAAACAGACUGGCAGAAAACUUGUGUUCCGAUCAGAGCCACCACGACACAAGAAGAAGGAGGACGACAGAAAUGACCAACAGAGCAAGGAGGAAGAAGAAUUAGCCUACUUCUUUUCUUGGGUGUAACUUUCAUUACACUCAAAUUGUAGCUUUUAUUAUUCUUAUACAAUGUCAUGACCAAAUAAAGACUUUAUAACUAAGUUUUAUUUAUCAAACAAAAUAAGAAAGUAAAUGAAUAUGAAUCAGU